This 490-nucleotide ribosomal RNA is filed under the name uncultured bacterium. Its description in RNAcentral is "partial 16S ribosomal RNA". It matches the Rfam family "Bacterial small subunit ribosomal RNA", at positions 30 to 507 of the family's 1533-position model. The record is from RNAcentral.
AUUGAACGCUGGCGGCAGGCCUAACACAUGCAAGUCGAACGGUAACAGGAAGAAGCUUGCUUCUUUGCUGACGAGUGGCGGACGGGUGGGUAAUGUCUGGGAAACUGCCUGAUGGAGGGGGAUAACUACUGGAAACGGUAGCUAAUACCGCAUAACGUCGCAAGACCAAAGAGGGGGACCUUCGGGCCUCUUGCCAUCGGAUGUGCCCAGAUGGGAUUAGCUAGUAGGUGGGGUAACGGCUCACCUAGGCGACGAUCCCUAGCUGGUCUGAGAGGAUGACCAGCCACACUGGAACUGAGACACGGUCCAGACUCCUACGGGAGGCAGCAGUGGGGAAUAUUGCACAAUGGGCGCAAGCCUGAUGCAGCCAUGCCGCGUGUAUGAAGAAGGCCUUCGGGUUGUAAAGUACUUUCAGCGGGGAGGAAGGGAGUAAAGUUAACACCUUUGCUCAUUGACGUUACCCGCAGAAGAAGCACCGGCUAACUCCGUG